CCUACGGGAGGCAGCAGUGGGGAAUAUUGCACAAUGGGGGAAACCCUGAUGCAGCGACGCCGCGUGAAGGAAGAAGUAUUUCGGUAUGUAAACUUCUAUCAGCAGGGAAGAAAAUGACGGUACCUGACUAAGAAGCCCCGGCUAACUACGUGCCAGCAGCCGCGGUAAUACGUAGGGGGCAAGCGUUAUCCGGAUGUACUGGGUGUAAAGGGAGCGUAGGCGGGUUAGCAAGUCAGAAGUGAAAGCCCGGGGCUCAACUCCGGGACUGCUUUUGAAACUGUUGAACUAGAGUGCAGGAGAGGUAAGUGGAAUUCCUAGUGUAGCGGUGAAAUGCGUAGAUAUUAGGAGGAACACCAGUGGCGAAGGCGGCUUACUGGACUGUAAAUGACGCUGAGGCUCGAAAGCGUGGGGAGCAAACAGGAUUAGAUACCCUAGUAGUC
RNAcentral lists this ribosomal RNA (440 nucleotides) under uncultured bacterium. RNAcentral describes it as "partial 16S ribosomal RNA". It matches the Rfam family "Bacterial small subunit ribosomal RNA", at positions 338 to 795 of the family's 1533-position model. The record is from RNAcentral.